UGUGACGUUACCAAACUGUUGCCUCGGCGGGAUCUCUGCCCCGGGUGCGUCGCAGCCCCGGACCAAGGCGCCCGCCGGAGGACCAACCAAAACUCUUAUUGUAUACCCCCUCGCGGGUUUUUUUUAUAAUCUGAGCCUUCUCGGCGCCUCUCGUAGGCGUUUCGAAAAUGAAUCAAAACUUUCAACAACGGAUCUCUUGGUUCUGGCAUCGAUGAAGAACGCAGCGAAAUGCGAUAAGUAAUGUGAAUUGCAGAAUUCAGUGAAUCAUCGAAUCUUUGAACGCACAUUGCGCCCGCCAGUAUUCUGGCGGGCAUGCCUGUCCGAGCGUCAUUUCAACCCUCGAACCCCUCCGGGGGGUCGGCGUUGGGGAUCGGCCCUCCCUUAGCGGGGUGGCCGUCUCCGAAAUACAGUGGCGGUCUCGCCGCAGCCUCUCCUGCGCAGUAGUUUGCACACUCGCAUCGGGAGCGCGGCGCGUCCACAGCCGUUAAACACCCAACUUCUGAAAUGUUGACCUCGGAUCAGGUAGGAAUACCCGCUGAACUUAAGCAUAUCA
RNAcentral lists this ribosomal RNA (553 nucleotides) under Trichoderma harzianum. Its description in RNAcentral is "eukaryotic LSU rRNA". The stretch from base 177 to 330 matches the Rfam family "5.8S ribosomal RNA". Lineage: Eukaryota; Fungi; Ascomycota; Sordariomycetes; Hypocreales; Hypocreaceae. The record is from RNAcentral.